UGAAAAAUGUGUCUUUUCAUUUCCUCUUU
Molecule: non-coding RNA, 29 nt
Filed under: Mus musculus (house mouse)
Lineage: Eukaryota; Metazoa; Chordata; Mammalia; Rodentia; Muridae
Source: RNAcentral